UUCCUAGUGGUUUUCAUAACAAUUGGAAAAUACCUAGGAAAAAACUAAAGAAAAACGGACAAAUGUAUAAAACGUAAUAUUUUCAAAUCGUAAAUAUCACGGCCUUUUAUAACAUGAUCUAUUGCCCAUUAGGUAACUGAACCCAAUCAGAAUCGUUUUUCGUCAGCAAAGAUUAAUCGUUAUGUACAAUAAUAAACAUUAAAUUCUCUUAUAUAAACGUAGGCGAACGAUAAAUAUAAAAUACUUAUUAUACAUCUAUUUAUAUAAUAUUAAUCUUAAUUUCGAAACACG
Molecule: non-coding RNA, 291 nt
Organism: Cinara cedri
Lineage: Eukaryota; Metazoa; Arthropoda; Insecta; Hemiptera; Aphididae
Source: the annotation of a GenBank genome assembly